Molecule: long non-coding RNA, 2569 nt
Organism: Rhinopithecus roxellana (golden snub-nosed monkey)
Lineage: Eukaryota; Metazoa; Chordata; Mammalia; Primates; Cercopithecidae
Exons: 4
Source: RefSeq, a predicted model, not a curated record
GUCCCUCAUGGCCCAUUCAGGUGCCCAGAGCUGCGGGCCUUGUUUCCUGGCGCUGCCUCCUCCCAUAUGGGUGUGCAGCAUCCUGCUCCAGAGCCUUCAGCCUCUGCACCCCUCAUCUGCCAAUGCAGGUGGUGGCACUUAGGGCCCACCUGGGUAGUCCUCACGAUUCACCUUUAUCACUGCAUGAGAGAACAUUCUCAGUUCCAGGCAUUAGGACCGGAAUUCCUUUGGGGCCGGCUCUCCCACCCACCACUGUGCCUGAAUGUGAUGCACACAGUGGCCAGCAUAUCCAGAGGCUUCCAGGAGGACCUGGGGUGGCUGGAGCUAGAGCAGGACCUGGUGUCAGAAGCAGGUGGGGCCAGGGAUUCCCAAGUAAGGCUUGGCGUGUACUUGAAGUGAGCAAAGGGUUUUGAAUGACUGGAUCAGAUUAAUGUUUUUUAUAGAUGGGUCUCCAGUCUGUGUGAACAGAUUGCAGGGUGCCACGGUGGGAGCUAAGGCCCAGGCAGAGGCUUUGCAGAGUCCCAGGAGAGGGCGCUGCAGCCCAGACUGGUGUGUGGGUGGAAGGCGGCCGAUGCAUUUCUCUGCUGUUUUUCUCCCCGCUGAGCUUGGUUCCUCAUGGAGGGCGGAUGGCAGACAUUUCGCUCUGGGACCUGAUGCCUAUGCAUCUGAAAGACUUCCCCAGGUGCCUGGGUCUAAGAACCACCGUCUGCCUUUGAGUAGAGUUUCUACAAACGUAACAUUCACCGAUGGAUGGAAGAUGGCCACAGCUCUAAAAUCACAGGGAGCUUUAGCAGAAGAAAAUAGAAGAUCACAGCUGUUCCCAUGGACUAAGCUGGCAGGUGACAGCCCCCUAACUUCUCAGCUCACACCUAACGGUGUCUGUGUCUGGUGAAAGCUGCUUCAGCAGGGACAGUCAGAGAACAGCGUGGAGUGAGCUGGCUUGUGGGGUCAUCUUUUCAGUCUCCUCCUUUGGGGCCUGGGAGAAGGGAGCGGCAGAUGGCCAGGCCCCCACCACAGGUCAUCGAGGUCACCUCCAGGUGGCUGCCGUGGUGGGCGGGGUGGGGGGCAUGUUCACACCCAUUCUGAGGGCACAUCCCAGUUGCUGCACACCCUUCACCUCUGCGAUGCUGGGACCACAUGCUCAGGCACAGUAGGGGGCCUUGCUGCACUCAUCGGGUAGCUCUGGGAUGGUGGGUGUGCCCUGGGCUGGAGUGACUGUGACCGCAUCAAGCAGUCCGCCAGCGGAACCAAGUGGCGCAUGUUCAUCAUCAAGUCCAUGGGCGGCUACUGUGGCUACCUGGCCAACAUGGGGGGCUCGCGGUCGGAGCCGAUGCUGUAUACAUUUUCGAAGAGCCCUUCGACAUCAGGGAUCUGCAGUCCAGUGUGGAGCACCUGAUGGAGAAAAGACCACCAUCCAGAGGGGCCUUGUGCUCAGGAAAAAAAUUGACCACUGAUGAUUCCAUUUGUGUGCUGGGAAUAAGCAAAAGAAAUGUUAUUUUUCAACCUGUGGCAGAGCUGAAGAAGCAAACGGAUUUUCACCACAGGAUUCCCAAAGAACAGUGGUGGCUCAAGCUGCGGCCCCUCAUGAAGAUCUUGGCCAAGUACAAGGCCAGCUACGACGUGUCAGACUCAGGCCAGCAAGAGCACGUGCAGCCCUGGAGCGUCUGACCCGGUCCUGCCUGCAUGUGCCUGCAACCUGGACUCACUGUGGACCACCUGUUUUUGUAACACUUAUUUAUCAGCACUUUAUGAAAGUAUUAUUGACAUUAAUACCUAACCAGCAAGCACCUGUCACUGCCCAUGUGCCCCACCAGCUCCAGUGCAUGCUGUCUGUGGACUGUGUCUCAUGCUUUCAGAUGUGUGUAUUACAUGUUUGCCUACAACUGCAACAGUCCUCCAUUUUAGUUUUUUAGCUACUAAUGGUUUUCUCAGCACUUUUGUGGGCAAAGAUUAUAAAAAUAUUUUUAGCAGGGAUCACUGAACUAUGCACAACUCAUAAAAGGAGAAAAAAGCCAGUUGUUUACACAGGCCAAAGGGAACACCGUGUUUAUUGCCAUGUGUCAGUUUCCAUCCACAGCAGCAGGCCAGGACCCUGGGCCUCGACCCCAGGCUCCUGCUCUCCUUAGAAAGUAAAAGAACACAUGAAUCUUAUCUACUAGGCCUCUUGAUUGCAAUCCUGGCUGCAUGUUAAAACCACCAAGGUAGGGGUUCGAAAAAUCUGAUAGCCAGUUUCUCAUCCAGUCCAAGCCACCGUCCUUGCUGGGACCUAAUUUGGAAUUCUCUGAUGACUCUUGCCAGAACAGACAUGGGUGCUGGGGUGACAGCCCUGCCACCCUCGCGGGCCCCCCUCUUGUAGGGACAGCGUUUGUCUCUUAGCUCUAGUCUGUAAGAGACCACACUGUGCCUCAGAAGCGGGGGUGGAGAGCUGUAUUGGGGGAGAGGAGACCCCAAAAACAAGCUGUUUGGGAAAUCAGAGUCCAACGGCCAAGAAGAGCUGGCAUGGAGGCUUUCCUUUCUGGCUCUGUAAAGACGAAGUGAGCGCUUACUCACCCCAGCCUACCUCUCAGGA